GUGCUCACUUCAGUAGCACAUAUACUGAAAUUGGAACAAUACAGAGAAGAUUAGCAUGACCCCUGUGCAAGGUUGACAUGCAAAUUUAUGAAGUGUCCCAUACUUUU
This 107-nucleotide small nuclear RNA is filed under the name Phocoena sinus (vaquita). Lineage: Eukaryota; Metazoa; Chordata; Mammalia; Artiodactyla; Phocoenidae. The record is from RNAcentral. RNAcentral also lists the same sequence under 1 other name.